Long non-coding RNA from Acanthaster planci (crown-of-thorns starfish), 273 nucleotides. NCBI's taxonomy places the organism in Eukaryota, Metazoa, Echinodermata, Asteroidea, Valvatida, Acanthasteridae. The record is from RefSeq and is a predicted model, not a curated record.
UUACAAGACGGAUGUGGAGUGGCUGGAGUCCCACGAAAACUGCGCGAAGGAAGGGGCGGCAGUUGUCAGCAUUGGCAGCUAUAAAGAACAGUUGUUCCUGAAACAGAACUUCGGCGCUACUAAAUUCUGGAUCGGGUACAUCUGGGAUUCGUUCCAAGGCCAGUUCAGGUGGAGUGAUUUCUCCGAGAGGAACUUUGAAAGUUGGAAUCCUGGUCAACCAAACGAUUUAGAUAACAACCUCUGCGCAAUUACCGGUGGCGACAAAUAUGCAGA